Molecule: transfer RNA, 63 nt
Filed under: Bostrichoidea sp. 1 KM-2017
Lineage: Eukaryota; Metazoa; Arthropoda; Insecta; Coleoptera
Description: tRNA-Val
Source: RNAcentral
CGAAUUAGAGCUUGGUUAAGCGUUUUAUUUACACUAAAAGGAGGGCCGUAAGGCCUAAUUUGA